This 213-nucleotide small nuclear RNA is filed under the name Salvator merianae (Argentine black and white tegu). RNAcentral describes it as "7SK RNA (ENSSMRG00000004780.1)". It matches the Rfam family "7SK RNA". From Rfam's summary of the family: 7SK was discovered as an abundant small nuclear RNA in the mid-70s but a possible function has only recently been suggested. Lineage: Eukaryota; Metazoa; Chordata; Lepidosauria; Squamata; Teiidae. The record is from RNAcentral.
AGAUGUGAGGGAGAUCUGGCUGCAACAUCUGUCAACUCCUUGACUGCUAGGGGUUGAUUCAGAUGAUCUGGUUCACCAGACAAGUGUCCCCUUUUUCCCUCUGUUUUUAUUCUUUGAACACUGCUUUGAGAUUAUAUUGUAAAGGGAAGCAGUAUAAAAUUACUAUUGAUAAAUAGAUAAAUAAUGAGGUCCUCAGAGCAGCUGAUCUUCAUU